RNAcentral lists this ribosomal RNA (1396 nucleotides) under uncultured bacterium. Its description in RNAcentral is "16S ribosomal RNA". It matches the Rfam family "Bacterial small subunit ribosomal RNA". The record is from RNAcentral.
AGAGUUUGAUCCUGGCUCAGGAUGAACGCUAGCUACAGGCUUAACACAUGCAAGUCGAGGGGCAGCAUGGUCUUAGCUUGCUAAGGCCGAUGGCGACCGGCGCACGGGUGAGUAACACGUAUCCAACCUGCCGUCUACUCUUGGACAGCCUUCUGAAAGGAAGAUUAAUACAAGAUGGCAUCAUGAGUCCGCAUGUUCACAUGAUUAAAGGUAUUCCGGUAGACGAUGGGGAUGCGUUCCAUUAGAUAGUAGGCGGAGUAACGGCCCACCUAGUCUUCGAUGGAUAGGGGUUCUGAGAGGAAGGUCCCCCACAUUGGAACUGAGACACGGUCCAAACUCCUACGGGAGGCAGCAGUGAGGAAUAUUGGUCAAUGGGCGCAGGCCUGAACCAGCCAAGUAGCGUGAAGGAUGACUGCCCUAUGGGUUGUAAACUUCUUUUAUAAAGGAAUAAAGUCGGGUAUGCAUACCCGUUUGCAUGUACUUUAUGAAUAAGGAUCGGCUAACUCCGUGCCAGCAGCCGCGGUAAUACGGAGGAUCCGAGCGUUAUCCGGAUUUAUUGGGUUUAAAGGGAGCGUAGAUGGAUGUUUAAGUCAGUUGUGAAAGUUUGCGGCUCAACCGUAAAAUUGCAGUUGAUACUGGAUAUCUUGAGUGCAGUUGAGGCAGGCGGAAUUCGUGGUGUAGCGGUGAAAUGCUUAGAUAUCACGAAGAACUCCGAUUGCGAAGGCAGCCUGCUAAGCUGCAACUGACAUUGAGGCUCGAAAGUGUGGGUAUCAAACAGGAUUAGAUACCCUGGUAGUCCACACGGUAAACGAUGAAUACUCGCUGUUUGCGAUAUACUGCAAGCGGCCAAGCGAAAGCGUUAAGUAUUCCACCUGGGGAGUACGCCGGCAACGGUGAAACUCAAAGGAAUUGACGGGGGCCUGCACAAGCAGAGGAACAUGUGGUUUAAUUCGAUGAUACGCGAGGAACCUUACCCGGGCUUAAAUUGCAGAUGAAUUACGGUGAAAGCCGUAAGCCGCAAGGCAUCUGUGAAGGUGCUGCAUGGUUGUCGUCAGCUCGUGCCGUGAGGUGUCGGCUUAAGUGCCAUAACGAGCGCAACCCUUGUUGUCAGUUACUAACAGGUUCCGCUGAGGACUCUGACAAGACUGCCAUCGUAAGAUGUGAGGAAGGUGGGGAUGACGUCAAAUCAGCACGGCCCUUACGUCCGGGGCUACACACGUGUUACAAUGGGGGGUACAGAGGGCCGCUACCACGCGAGUGGAUGCCAAUCCCCAAAACCUCUCUCAGUUCGGACUGGAGUCUGCAACCCGACUCCACGAAGCUGGAUUCGCUAGUAAUCGCGCAUCAGCCACGCUGCGGUGAAUACGUUCCCGGGCCUUGCACACACCGCCCGUCA